Molecule: ribosomal RNA, 2929 nt
Filed under: Escherichia coli E1140
Lineage: Bacteria; Pseudomonadati; Pseudomonadota; Gammaproteobacteria; Enterobacterales; Enterobacteriaceae
Description: bacterial LSU rRNA
Rfam family: Bacterial large subunit ribosomal RNA
Source: RNAcentral
GGGUUGUGAGGUUAAGCGACUAAGCGUACACGGUGGAUGCCCUGGCAGUCAGAGGCGAUGAAGGACGUGCUAAUCUGCGAUAAGCGUCGGUAAGGUGAUAUGAACCGUUAUAACCGGCGAUUUCCGAAUGGGGAAACCCAGUGUGAUUCGUCACACUAUCAUUAACUGAAUCCAUAGGUUAAUGAGGCGAACCGGGGGAACUGAAACAUCUAAGUACCCCGAGGAAAGAAAUCAACCGAGAUUCCCCCAGUAGCGGCGAGCGAACGGGGAGCAGCCCAGAGCCUGAAUCAGUAUGUGUGUUAGUGGAAGCGUCUGGAAAGGCGCGCGAUACAGGGUGACAGCCCCGUACACAAAAAUGCACAUGCUGUGAGCUCGAUGAGUAGGGCGGGACACGUGGUAUCCUGUCUGAAUAUGGGGGGACCAUCCUCCAAGGCUAAAUACUCCUGACUGACCGAUAGUGAACCAGUACCGUGAGGGAAAGGCGAAAAGAACCCCGGCGAGGGGAGUGAAAAAGAACCUGAAACCGUGUACGUACAAGCAGUGGGAGCACGCUUAGGCGUGUGACUGCGUACCUUUUGUAUAAUGGGUCAGCGACUUAUAUUCUGUAGCAAGGUUAACCGAAUAGGGGAGCCGAAGGGAAACCGAGUCUUAACUGGGCGUUAAGUUGCAGGGUAUAGACCCGAAACCCGGUGAUCUAGCCAUGGGCAGGUUGAAGGUUGGGUAACACUAACUGGAGGACCGAACCGACUAAUGUUGAAAAAUUAGCGGAUGACUUGUGGCUGGGGGUGAAAGGCCAAUCAAACCGGGAGAUAGCUGGUUCUCCCCGAAAGCUAUUUAGGUAGCGCCUCGUGAAUUCAUCUCCGGGGGUAGAGCACUGUUUCGGCAAGGGGGUCAUCCCGACUUACCAACCCGAUGCAAACUGCGAAUACCGGAGAAUGUUAUCACGGGAGACACACGGCGGGUGCUAACGUCCGUCGUGAAGAGGGAAACAACCCAGACCGCCAGCUAAGGUCCCAAAGUCAUGGUUAAGUGGGAAACGAUGUGGGAAGGCCCAGACAGCCAGGAUGUUGGCUUAGAAGCAGCCAUCAUUUAAAGAAAGCGUAAUAGCUCACUGGUCGAGUCGGCCUGCGCGGAAGAUGUAACGGGGCUAAACCAUGCACCGAAGCUGCGGCAGCGACGCUUAUGCGUUGUUGGGUAGGGGAGCGUUCUGUAAGCCUGUGAAGGUGUGCUGUGAGGCAUGCUGGAGGUAUCAGAAGUGCGAAUGCUGACAUAAGUAACGAUAAAGCGGGUGAAAAGCCCGCUCGCCGGAAGACCAAGGGUUCCUGUCCAACGUUAAUCGGGGCAGGGUGAGUCGACCCCUAAGGCGAGGCCGAAAGGCGUAGUCGAUGGGAAACAGGUUAAUAUUCCUGUACUUGGUGUUACUGCGAAGGGGGGACGGAGAAGGCUAUGUUGGCCGGGCGACGGUUGUCCCGGUUUAAGCGUGUAGGCUGGUUUUCCAGGCAAAUCCGGAAAAUCAAGGCUGAGGCGUGAUGACGAGGCACUACGGUGCUGAAGCAACAAAUGCCUGCUUCCAGGAAAAGCCUCUAAGCAUCAGGUAACAUCAAAUCGUACCCCAAACCGACACAGGUGGUCAGGUAGAGAAUACCAAGGCGCUUGAGAGAACUCGGGUGAAGGAACUAGGCAAAAUGGUGCCGUAACUUCGGGAGAAGGCACGCUGAUAUGUAGGUGAAGUCCCUCGCGGAUGGAGCUGAAAUCAGUCGAAGAUACCAGCUGGCUGCAACUGUUUAUUAAAAACACAGCACUGUGCAAACACGAAAGUGGACGUAUACGGUGUGACGCCUGCCCGGUGCCGGAAGGUUAAUUGAUGGGGUUAGCGCAAGCGAAGCUCUUGAUCGAAGCCCCGGUAAACGGCGGCCGUAACUAUAACGGUCCUAAGGUAGCGAAAUUCCUUGUCGGGUAAGUUCCGACCUGCACGAAUGGCGUAAUGAUGGCCAGGCUGUCUCCACCCGAGACUCAGUGAAAUUGAACUCGCUGUGAAGAUGCAGUGUACCCGCGGCAAGACGGAAAGACCCCGUGAACCUUUACUAUAGCUUGACACUGAACAUUGAGCCUUGAUGUGUAGGAUAGGUGGGAGGCUUUGAAGUGUGGACGCCAGUCUGCAUGGAGCCGACCUUGAAAUACCACCCUUUAAUGUUUGAUGUUCUAACGUGGACCCGUAAUCCGGGUUGCGGACAGUGUCUGGUGGGUAGUUUGACUGGGGCGGUCUCCUCCUAAAGAGUAACGGAGGAGCACGAAGGUUGGCUAAUCCUGGUCGGACAUCAGGAGGUUAGUGCAAUGGCAUAAGCCAGCUUGACUGCGAGCGUGACGGCGCGAGCAGGUGCGAAAGCAGGUCAUAGUGAUCCGGUGGUUCUGAAUGGAAGGGCCAUCGCUCAACGGAUAAAAGGUACUCCGGGGAUAACAGGCUGAUACCGCCCAAGAGUUCAUAUCGACGGCGGUGUUUGGCACCUCGAUGUCGGCUCAUCACAUCCUGGGGCUGAAGUAGGUCCCAAGGGUAUGGCUGUUCGCCAUUUAAAGUGGUACGCGAGCUGGGUUUAGAACGUCGUGAGACAGUUCGGUCCCUAUCUGCCGUGGGCGCUGGAGAAUUGAGGGGGGCUGCUCCUAGUACGAGAGGACCGGAGUGGACGCAUCACUGGUGUUCGGGUUGUCAUGCCAAUGGCACUGCCCGGUAGCUAAAUGCGGAAGAGAUAAGUGCUGAAAGCAUCUAAGCACGAAACUUGCCCCGAGAUGAGUUCUCCCUGACUCCUUGAGAGUCCUGAAGGAACGUUGAAGACGACGACGUUGAUAGGCCGGGUGUGUAAGCGCAGCGAUGCGUUGAGCUAACCGGUACUAAUGAACCGUGAGGCUUAACCUUACAACGCCGAAGGUGUUU